CACUACUACUACUACUACUACUACUACUACUACUACUACUACUACUACUAUCACUACUACUACUAUUUCUAGGUAUAUAUGCAUCAUUCCUUACCAUUCUUCUCAUCAUUCUUAUCAUUCGCUACUAUAAUUUUUGUCAUUAAUAUUCUCAGUGUCUCAUUAGUUUCAUGUUAUUCUCGAGGCCGGAACACUUGUCUUUUCCGUGACGGCUCCAAAACAAUCAUUCUUCCGCGCCGCCGCUAGACUCAAAACCAAACGGGCGCUUUUUUAAUUUUUUUUAAUUCUCUUCGCCCUUCAAAUUAAGUUGUCCCAAUUUUUAUAUCCCCCCGUCAGUCACUUCCGCUUCCGCCAUUGAUAUUAUUUUGUUUUCUCAUAUUCUUCCGCUUUUUUUUAUUUCACACGGUAUAGAGUUUCCAGGGUUCUGAAUUUCGCUGUGGAUUGUAUAUGAAAAUUUUGUGAUAUGGUCCAUUUUUCCUUGUCUUCAUUUAUCUUUCGUUUUCCCAUAUCUCUGUUAACCUUUAGACUUCAAUAAAUGGCUUACCCUUCCUCAGUCUUCACUUUUUCAGAUCCAUUUUCUUUUUCUUCUUCCUUCUCCUUCUUUUGUUUCGUUCUCUUCCUUUCCAAACACCUUUCUCAAUUUUAUUUCUUUUCCACCCCGCAAGUACUCCUCACUACCUUGAUCUUUUAUAUUUAUUUCCUUCUUCCCGACCCUUUUCCCCUUCCCCUUCUUCUUUCCUCUUCUCUUCCGAUUCUCUUUAAUCUUUCUCCAUCCUCAUCUUUCCUUCCCCAUUCCACUCCUUCCUUACUCCUCCUGUUCUUUCCCUUCUUCUUUAACCCCUUCUUUACUUCCCUGCUUUUCCUUUCUCUCUCUCUUUCCCAUCCCUCUUUCUUCUUUCCUCUUCUUCAUGUUCCCUCCUCCUUUUACCCCGUCCUCCCUCCCUCUUGCCUUCUUCUGUCCUUUUCUUUAUUCGUCCUCAUUUUCAUCACUUUCCUCUAUUUCUUUUUAGCUUUCCCUGUCUUCCGCUCUUUCACCUUCCACCCCUCCCUGUUUUCUUACCUUUCCUUCCCUUCCACCUUUCCCUCUCACCUCCUAUCCACACUUUCCUUUCCACCCGGUCUUCCUGUUCCUCCUCCUCCGUCCUUCCCCCUCCCCUUGAAGAUGGAGUGCUGCAGUCUUAAUUAAUGUUCAUGAUCUAACUUGGCCCUGCAGACUUUCCGGAACCCCGCCCAUACGUCACUCUCGGCCCCGCUCACCGCCUCGGCCCUCUCCCCUUCCACCUGACUGCCCGUGCUGGUGGUGGUGGUGGUGGUGGUGGCAGGGCCGAGCACGAGGGCCGAAAGGAAAGUGUGAAGAAGGGAGGAGCUGGCGUAAGGGAUGGUGGUGUACGCUGGGAGAUAACGCGGCGCUGCAUUCACAUCCACGCCUCACUAGAAAUGAUCAACUUACGUUUCCACGACUGUCAGCGGCCACCAACGCGCUCACUCACCUGUGGAAAGAAAG
Molecule: long non-coding RNA, 1501 nt
Organism: Eriocheir sinensis (Chinese mitten crab)
Lineage: Eukaryota; Metazoa; Arthropoda; Malacostraca; Decapoda; Varunidae
Exons: 3
Source: RefSeq, a predicted model, not a curated record